UAUAAUAUUUAUAUAUUCUGAUAAAAAAAUUAAUACAAAUAUUCCUCUAUAAUAUUCAAUAUUAAAUCCAGAAACUAACUCAGAUUCUCCCUGAAUUAAAUCAAAAGGUGUACGAUUUAAUUCAAUUAAUAUUCUUGUUAAAAAAUAUUAAAUAUAAAGGAUAAACUAAUACAACAAAUUCAAUCAAAUACAUUGAUAAUUUAUAAACUCUAAAAAAGAAAAAUCUUUCAAUUAAAAUUAUUAAUAUAAAACUAAAAAAAGAAGUUAAUCUAAAAUGAAAUUAUU
Molecule: long non-coding RNA, 285 nt
Organism: Apis florea (little honeybee)
Lineage: Eukaryota; Metazoa; Arthropoda; Insecta; Hymenoptera; Apidae
Source: RefSeq, a predicted model, not a curated record